This 465-nucleotide ribosomal RNA is filed under the name uncultured bacterium. Its description in RNAcentral is "bacterial SSU rRNA". It matches the Rfam family "Bacterial small subunit ribosomal RNA", at positions 338 to 795 of the family's 1533-position model. The record is from RNAcentral.
CCUACGGGGGGCUGCAGUGGGGAAUAUUGGACAAUGGGCGAAAGCCUGAUCCAGCCAUGCCGCGUGAGUGAUGAAGGCCUUCGGGUCGUAAAACUCUUUUCUGAGGGAAGAACAUCCGCCGUAGGAAAUGACGGCGGCUUGACGGUACCUCAGGAAUAAGCAACGGCUAACUCCGUGCCAGCAGCCGCGGUAAUACGGAGGUUGCGAGCGUUGUUCGGAAUAACUGGGCGUAAAGGGAGCGCAGGCGGUUCGGCAAGUCUAAAGUGGAAGCCCGGGGCUUAACCUCGGAAGUGCUUUGGAUACUACCGAGCUCGAGUUCGUGAGAGGAAAGCGGAAUUCCAGGUGUAGCGGUGAAAUGCGUAGAUAUCUGGAGGAACACCGGUGGCGAAAGCGGCUUUCUGGCACGAUACUGACGCUGAGGCUCGAAAGCAUGGGUAGCAAACGGGCUUAGAUACCCCAGUAGUC